Molecule: ribosomal RNA, 506 nt
Filed under: uncultured bacterium
Lineage: Bacteria
Description: partial 16S ribosomal RNA
Rfam family: Bacterial small subunit ribosomal RNA
Source: RNAcentral
AUUGAACGCUGGCGGCAGGCCUAACACAUGCAAGUCGAACGGCAGCACAGAAGAGCUUGCUCUUUGGGUGGCGAGUGGCGGACGGGUGAGUAAUGUCUGGGAAACUGCCCGAUGGAGGGGGAUAACUACUGGAAACGGUAGCUAAUACCGCAUAACGUCGCGAGACCAAAGUGGGGGACCUUCGGGCCUCACACCAUCGGAUGUGCCCAGAUGGGACUAGCUAGUAGGUGGGGUAAUGGCUCACCUAGGCGACGAUCCCUAGCUGGUCUGAGAGGAUGACCAGCCACACUGGAACUGAGACACGGUCCAGACUCCUACGGGAGGCAGCAGUGGGGAAUAUUGCACAAUGGGCGCAAGCCUGAUGCGGCCAUGCCGCGUGUAUGAAGAAGGCCUUCGGGUUGUAAAGUACUUUCAGCGGGGAGGAAGGCGGUGAGGUUAAUAACCUCGCCGAUUGACGUUACCCGCAGAAGAAGCACCGGCUAACUCCGUGCCAGCAGCCGCCGUAA